GAGGGGAUAGCUCAGUGGUAGAGCGCAUGCUUAGCAUGCACAGGGUCCUGGGUUCAAUCCCCAGUGCCUCCA
This 72-nucleotide transfer RNA is filed under the name Camelus bactrianus (Bactrian camel). It matches the Rfam family "tRNA". Rfam says of the family: Transfer RNA (tRNA) molecules are approximately 80 nucleotides in length. The record is from Rfam by way of RNAcentral. RNAcentral also lists the same sequence under 2 other names. Lineage: Eukaryota; Metazoa; Chordata; Mammalia; Artiodactyla; Camelidae.